This 253-nucleotide ribosomal RNA is filed under the name uncultured bacterium. RNAcentral describes it as "partial 16S ribosomal RNA". It matches the Rfam family "Bacterial small subunit ribosomal RNA", at positions 524 to 776 of the family's 1533-position model. The record is from RNAcentral.
UACGUAGGGUGCGAGCGUUGUCCGGAAUUAUUGGGCGUAAAGAGCUCGUAGGCGGUUUGUUGCGUCUAUCGUGAAAACCUGCAGCUUAACUGUGGGCUUGCGGUGGAUACGGGCAGACUUGAGUUCGGUAGGGGAGACUGGAAUUCCUGGUGUAGCGGUGAAAUGCGCAGAUAUCAGGAGGAACACCGGUGGCGAAGGCGGGUCUCUGGGCCGAUACUGACGCUGAGGAGCGAAAGCAUGGGUAGCGAACAGG